Molecule: ribosomal RNA, 462 nt
Filed under: Nocardia veterana
Lineage: Bacteria; Bacillati; Actinomycetota; Actinomycetes; Mycobacteriales; Nocardiaceae
Also listed under: 1 other name
Description: bacterial SSU rRNA
Rfam family: Bacterial small subunit ribosomal RNA
Source: RNAcentral
GACGAACGCUGGCGGCGUGCUUAACACAUGCAAGUCGAGCGGUAAGGCCCUUCGGGGUACACGAGCGGCGAACGGGUGAGUAACACGUGGGUGAUCUGCCUCGUACUCUGGGAUAAGCCUGGGAAACUGGGUCUAAUACCGGAUAUGACCACGAAUCGCAUGGUUUGUGGUGGAAAGAUUUAUCGGUGCGAGAUGGGCCCGCGGCCUAUCAGCUUGUUGGUGGGGUAAUGGCCUACCAAGGCGACGACGGGUAGCCGGCCUGAGAGGGCGACCGGCCACACUGGGACUGAGACACGGCCCAGACUCCUACGGGAGGCAGCAGUGGGGAAUAUUGCACAAUGGGCGGAAGCCUGAUGCAGCGACGCCGCGUGAGGGAUGACGGCCUUCGGGUUGUAAACCUCUUUCGACAGGGACGAAGCGCAAGUGACGGUACCUGUAGAAGAAGCACCGGCCAACUACGUG